RNAcentral lists this ribosomal RNA (764 nucleotides) under uncultured bacterium. RNAcentral's name for it is "bacterial SSU rRNA". It matches the Rfam family "Bacterial small subunit ribosomal RNA", at positions 28 to 814 of the family's 1533-position model. The record is from RNAcentral.
AACGAGCGCUGGCGGCGUGGAUAAGACAUGCAAGUCGAACGAGAGAAUUGCUAGCUUGCUAAUAAUUCUCUAGUGGCGCACGGGUGAGUAACACGUGAGUAACCUGCCCCCGAGAGCGGGAUAGCCCUGGGAAACUGGGAUUAAUACCGCAUAGUAUCGAAAGAUUAAAGCAGCAAUGCGCUUGGGGAUGGGCUCGCGGCCUAUUAGUUAGUUGGUGAGGUAACGGCUCACCAAGGCGAUGACGGUAGCCGGUCUGAGAGGAUGUCCGGCCACACUGGAACUGAGACACGGUCCAGACACCUACGGGUGGCAGCAGUCGAGAAUCAUUCACAAUGGGGGAAACCCUGAUGGUGCGACGCCGCGUGGGGGAAUGAAGGUCUUCGGAUUGUAAACCCCUGUCAUGUGGGAGCAAAUUAAAAAGAUAGUACCACAAGAGGAAGAGACGGCUAACUCUGUGCCAGCAGCCGCGGUAAUACAGAGGUCUCAAGCGUUGUUCGGAAUCACUGGGCGUAAAGCGUGCGUAGACUGUUUCGUAAGUCGUGUGUGAAAGGCGCGGGCUCAACCCGCGGACGGCACAUGAUACUGCGAGACUAGAGUAAUGGAGGGGGAACCGGAAUUCUCGGUGUAGCAGUGAAAUGCGUAGAUAUCGAGAGGAACACUCGUGGCGAAGGCGGGUUCCUGGACAUUAACUGACGCUGAGGCACGAAGGCCAGGGGAGCGAAAGGGAUUAGAUACCCCUGUAGUCCUGGCAGUAAACGGUGCAC